Molecule: small nucleolar RNA, 104 nt
Filed under: Helianthus annuus (common sunflower)
Lineage: Eukaryota; Viridiplantae; Streptophyta; Magnoliopsida; Asterales; Asteraceae
Description: Small nucleolar RNA Z43
Rfam family: Small nucleolar RNA Z43
About the family: Z43 is a member of the C/D class of snoRNA which contain the C (UGAUGA) and D (CUGA) box motifs. Most of the members of the box C/D family function in directing site-specific 2'-O-methylation of substrate RNAs.
Source: Rfam by way of RNAcentral
GGAUAAUGACGAUUUCAUGUGAUAAGGUCUCGUUCGUCGUAAUGGUGUGAUGAACUCACACCUUGCCGACCAUCCUAUUAUAUCACCACCCAUAAACUGAAUCC